GAUGAACGUUGGCGGCGUGCCUAAUACAUGCAAGUCGAACGAAGACUGUAGUAAUACUGUCUUAGUGGCGAACGGGUGAGUAACGCGUGGGUGACCUGCCCCGAAGUGUGGGAUAACAGUCCGAAAGGAUUGCUAAUACUGCAUAAUAUCCAAGAGAUUAGAUGCUUUUGGAUUAAAGGAGUAAUUCGCUUCGGGAGGGGCCCGCGUCCCAUCAGCUAGUUGGUAAGGUAAUGGCUUACCAAGGCGAUGACGGGUAGGGGACCUGAGAGGGUGGCCCCCCACAAUGGAACUGAAACACGGUCCAUACACCUACGGGUGGCAGCAGUAGGGAAUAUUAGUAAUGGGCGAAAGCCUGAACUAGCAACGCCGCGUGUGCGAAGAAGGCCUUCGGGUCGUAAAGCACUUUUGUAGAGGAUGAGGAAGGACGGUACUCUCAGAAUAAGUCUCGGCUAACUACGUGCCAGCAGCCGCGGUAGUCAUACUCGUA
Molecule: ribosomal RNA, 487 nt
Filed under: uncultured bacterium
Lineage: Bacteria
Description: bacterial SSU rRNA
Rfam family: Bacterial small subunit ribosomal RNA
Source: RNAcentral